GAUGAAGAACGCAGCGAAAUGCGAUAAGUAAUGUGAAUUGCAGAAUUCAGUGAAUCAUCGAAUCUUUGAACGCACAUUGCGCCCGCCAGUAUUCUGGCGGGCAUGCCUGUUCGAGCGUCAUUACAACCCUCAGGCCCCCGGGCCUGGCGUUGGGGAUCGGCGGAAGCCCCCUGUGGGCACACGCCGUCCCUCAAAUACAGUGGCGGUCCCGCCGCAGCUUCCAUUGCGUAGUAGCUAACACCUCGCAACUGGAGAGCGGCGCGGCCAUGCCGUAAAACACCCAACUUCUGAAUGUUGACCUCGAAUCAGGUAGGAAUACCCGCUGAACUUAAGCAUAUCAAUAAGCGAGGA
RNAcentral lists this unclassified non-coding RNA (351 nucleotides) under soil metagenome. Its description in RNAcentral is "partial contains 5.8S ribosomal RNA, internal transcribed spacer 2, and large subunit ribosomal RNA". The stretch from base 1 to 120 matches the Rfam family "5.8S ribosomal RNA", at positions 35 to 154 of the family's 154-position model. The record is from RNAcentral.